This 473-nucleotide ribosomal RNA is filed under the name uncultured bacterium. Its description in RNAcentral is "SSU rRNA". It matches the Rfam family "Bacterial small subunit ribosomal RNA", at positions 26 to 523 of the family's 1533-position model. The record is from RNAcentral.
AGGACGAACGCUGGCGGCGUGCUUAACACAUGCAAGUGGAGCGACGAACCAGGGCUUGCCCUGGGGCAGAGCCGCGAACGGGUGAGUAACACGUGGGUUACCUGCCUCGAUGACCGGGACAACCCGAGGAAACUCGGGCUAAUACCGGAUGUGCCCGCAAGGGGAAAGGAAGCUUCGGCCUCCGCAUCGAGAUGGGCCCGCGGCCCAUUAGCUUGUUGGUGAGGUAACGGCUCACCAAGGCUUCGAUGGGUAGCUGGUCUGAGAGGACGAUCAGCCACACUGGGACUGAGACACGGCCCAGACUCCUACGGGAGGCAGCAGUGGGGAAUCUUGCGCAAUGGACGAAAGUCUGACGCAGCAACGCCGCGUGAGGGACGAAGGCUUUCUGAGUUGUAAACCUCUUUCGACAGGAACGAUUGUGACGGUACCUGUAGAAGAAGCACCGGCCAACUAUGCGCCAGCAGCCGCGGUAA